GCAAAGACAGUCAGUGGAUUAAUUAAUCUCACAAGCCCUGCCUGACACUGAGGAAUGUAGGAUUCACACAAACUGUCCCUUAGACCUGGAGCAGCUAUAAAUGUGAAACAGUUCAUCAUGAAAGUUAAAGGAUCUGAAUGUAUCUUAUACUGGGAUGGAUGGAGAUCAGUCUGUGUCUCUGGCCUUUCCCUCCGAGCUUUUAAUAAUUAAUAGUGUUGUGGCUGAUCAGAGAGCAGUCUGCUGCUAUAACUGGCCUGAUCGUGAAGCUUUACCGUCUGUCCAGCUCUGAUUGAAACUGAAGCCUGGCUUUAAUCCACGCCCCUUCACCUGUCAGGCGCUCUCCAUGCCUCCCUUGAGUUUCUUAAUGCUGUGCUCUGCUAGAUGUCACGGCUCGUCAGUUUAGACCGUUUGUGCAUAAAUCACUCUGCGUUUGACUUCCGCCUCCAAUCAGAAGACAUUAUUUACAAAUACUCAUUUACACACGCUGUUGUGACAGUUGGAUAUGCUAAUCUGUGUUGACACACCUGCCGCUUGUGAGCA
Sinocyclocheilus anshuiensis is the source of this 540-nucleotide long non-coding RNA. RefSeq lists it as uncharacterized. The transcript is spliced from 3 exons. The record is from RefSeq and is a predicted model, not a curated record. NCBI's taxonomy places the organism in Eukaryota, Metazoa, Chordata, Actinopteri, Cypriniformes, Cyprinidae.